Molecule: ribosomal RNA, 462 nt
Filed under: Triticum aestivum (bread wheat)
Lineage: Eukaryota; Viridiplantae; Streptophyta; Magnoliopsida; Poales; Poaceae
Description: partial small subunit ribosomal RNA
Source: RNAcentral
AUGCUGCCAAGUUCUGGGGAAGGCAGGUCAUGCCGACGGCCGACUUUACGUGGAAGAACCGUGCGCCCCUCCAAUGUUGUUUCUUUGCUUGGCUUGCCUUGCGAAACAUGCUAUCAAGAGGAGGAGACAAUUGGGCAUCUCCUGCUGGAUUGCGUCUUUGCACGGCAGGUUUGGAUCGCGGUGGGACAAGGCCUUGGACAGGUUACGUGGGCUCCAGCUAGGAACACUUUGCUCUCUGAUUGGUGCCAAGUCAUCAACGAUACAGGCCAGAGAAAGAAGGACACGCGCGCGAUAGCCAUUCUUGUAAUGUGGGAGCUAUGGAAGCACCGAAACGCGAUUGUGUUUGACCGGUGCACACCUUCGGUGGAGCGAAUUCUGGUCAGGAUUGAAGCCGAGGGCAGCGCAUGGAAGAUGGCCGGGAUCAUCAAGGGCGACGUGUCCUUUGGGGUAAUGACAGGGUGA